UCGGGGUGCCCCUAGCAGAGGACAAAACGCAAGGCCCCGCGUCCUGUUUAGUCUUCCUGGGAAUCGAAAUCGACACCCAGGCUCGGCUCUGUAGGUUGCCACCUGAUAAAGUUCAGGGCAUGCUUGAGGCGGUCAGAGCGGCAGUCUCUAAUGCAGUUAUUUCCCUGAAACAGUUACAAUCCCUGUUAGGUUUGCUUAAUUUCGCUUGCAGAGUUAUCCCCAUGGGUCGGGUUUUUAACCGUAGACUGGAAAGACAGCUUAGUGGUAGGUCAAACCCGAAAUCAAAGAUAACCCUAGGGAGUGAAUUGCUGGCUGACCUGGUAGUCUGGGAACAGUUUCUCACGCGAUUUAACGGGAUUCGGGUCUGGCGUACCCCUCCCAUGUCUAGCCAGUUACUGCACCUUUUCACUGACGCAGCUGGAUCGCACGGUUACGGGGCCUAUUUCCAGGGAGAGUGGAGCGCGGAGCCCUGGCCGGAGUCCUGGGCCCCGGCGGGCCUUACUCGAAACCUGACUCUCCUGGAGCUAUUCCCCGUGGUCUUGGCGGUCGAGCUGUGGGGUGGGAAGUUGUCGAACGGGACUGUUGUGUUCUGGACAGACAACAUCAGUGUGGUCUUUGCGAUCAAUAACUUGUCAGCCACCUCAGCAAAGGUCAUUACCUUGCUGCGCCACCUGGUGUUGCGCUGUCUGGACCUUAACAUCCAGUUCCAGGCCCGUCAUGUCCCGGGCGUCGACAAUGUUGUAGCUGACGCCCUGUCACGAUUCGAAUGGGCGACAUUUCGCAAGUUAGCCCCCACAGCUGCAGCCGUGGGCUUACGCUGUCCUGAUUUCCUUUGGCAGCUCGUCCUUCCUGGAUAGCCUUACUGCCGUUGGUCCGCUCCUCCUUAGCACCAUCCACUUGGCACGCCUAUGCCCGCAUGUGGUCUGAAUGGGACAAUUUCUGUGCGUCCAGGGGAGCCGACGCUGCUCAGGGGUCUAGGGACAACUUACAUGAUUGGCUGGCACUACCCCCGGGGUGAAGCGAAUCUGGAUUGUGGGCCACUCCUUUGUCCACUGGGCCUCCCUACGCUGUGCGUCCCUCCCAUUUGGCCAAUCCCUAGGUCUCCCUUCCAACAAGGCAUCCGUUAGGUGGUUGGGUGAUAGGGGGAUGUGCUGGCCCCAAUUAGCAGGAACCAUAUCUGAGGCCCUGGUACGCUGGGGGAAGCCUCACAUUAUUAUUCUUCACCUAGGGGGUAACGAUGUGGGGGCCAUACCAGUUUUACAGUUGAUUAAGGUUAUGCAGGCAGACAUUGGGUGGCUAAGAGUACGCAUCCCGGGGGUCAUGAUAGGGUGGUCCCAUAUAAUACCCCGUCUCCACUGGAGGCAUAUGUCGGCCCAUACGGCGGCAUACCGGGUUAGGAAGAAGAUCAAUGCGUCUGUAGCGAAAACCGUCACUGGGUCAGGUGGCUUCGUGGUACGGCACGAAGCCAUUUCGGCUGAUAGAACCGAGCUAUAUAGAAGGGAUAAAGUUCACCUUUCUGAUGUGGGGCUGGAUUUAUUCAUAGGGGACAUUCAGAGAGCUCUGUUACCCCUCCUGUAAAUCGGGUUGUGCGUUGGCGGCAAGGGUACCAUUAAAAUGCUUCCUUGUGGCGGGAGAUCCUCGGUCCGGUUGCGCAGGAGAAGGUCGCUAGGGGUGAGUGAUGGCCAGACUUCCGGGGAGGAGGGUAGGCCCUCACGUGCACGUGACGGUAACCCUCCUUCCUCCCUUUUGAGGGAUGGUCACGUGAUCUCUGCAACCCCUCAGCGUCAUCUCCUUAGGGCAGAGACUCCUCUGCUGCUGUUCCCGUUGGGCCGGUGAUCUCCUGCUGUUCUGGGUAGCUGAUCUCUAUGCCGCCAUAUAUAUUUUCAGUUCUAUCAGUUCUAUCUAGUUUGUUAGGUUAAUAAAAUUUUAUGGCCUGUGACGGUCACAAAAUUUUUCCCAUAAAAAGUUUGUCUGUGGUUAUUUCGCACUACAUUCUCAUGUACAUAGUUAUUUAAUUAAGUUAUGUUAAAUCCUCUCCUCUGUGAAGAAGGAUCCGGUAAGCAUUUAAUCCCUUAAUGCAGUGUAGGGCUUAGUAUAAGCCUGGAGCAGUCUAAGGGUUAAGGCUGUAGGAGAGUGGGUUAGAAGAGAGAGGGAAGGUGCUGGGUGCAACAUUGUUGCAAUUUAGGGUAGGCCCCUCCUUACCAGUAGAUAAGCCAAGUUCUCCCUUGCAACUUCCUCUUCUUCUCCGGAUCCUGGCUGAAGCAGUUUUUUCCCUCCCUCCCUUCCCCUUUUGUAAUGUUUUAAUGAUGUUGUAUUUUCGACGGCACCUUAAUGGCAGGGCUAUGGCUACUCACCCUAGGCCCAAUAAGCCAUUACUGUAGGAUAUGGAUCUCCUCUCCCUGUUAUGCGGUUUACACGGCUUGGUAACAGGGAAUCCUUAUCUAGGUGGAAGAUCUUCUUUCACCCUGGCGGCGGGAGAUCCUCGGUCCGGUUGCGCAGGAGAAGGUCGCUAGGGGUGAGUGAUGGCCAGACUUCCGGGGAGGAGGGUAGGCCCUCACGUGCACGUGACGGUAACCCUCCUUCCUCCCUUUUGAGGGAUGGUCACGUGAUCUCUGCAACCCCUCAGCGUCAUCUCCUUAGGGCAGAGACUCCUCUGCUGCUGUUCCCGUUGGGCCGGUGAUCUCCUGCUGUUCUGGGUAGCUGAUCUCUAUGCCGCCAUAUAUAUUUUCAGUUCUAUCAGUUCUAUCUAGUUUGUUAGGUUAAUAAAAUUUUAUGGCCUGUGACGGUCACAAAAUUUUUCCCAUAAAAA
Bombina bombina (fire-bellied toad) is the source of this 2809-nucleotide long non-coding RNA. RefSeq lists it as uncharacterized. The record is from RefSeq and is a predicted model, not a curated record. The transcript is spliced from 2 exons. Lineage: Eukaryota; Metazoa; Chordata; Amphibia; Anura; Bombinatoridae.